RNAcentral lists this non-coding RNA (23 nucleotides) under Cricetulus griseus (Chinese hamster). The record is from RNAcentral. Lineage: Eukaryota; Metazoa; Chordata; Mammalia; Rodentia; Cricetidae.
UUCAGUCUGAGGGCUCCAACAGU